This 107-nucleotide non-coding RNA is filed under the name Tsukamurella pulmonis. Its description in RNAcentral is "Glycine sequence". It matches the Rfam family "Glycine riboswitch aptamer". Rfam says of the family: This family represents the bacterial glycine riboswitch. Glycine riboswitches usually consist of two metabolite-binding aptamers domains with similar structures in tandem. The record is from RNAcentral. Lineage: Bacteria; Bacillati; Actinomycetota; Actinomycetes; Mycobacteriales; Tsukamurellaceae.
CAACACCGCGUGGGAGAGUCCGCCGGACCGGCAGUAGACGGGCCGCGGGCGCCGAAGGAGCAACACCUCUCCGUCAAUCUCUCAGGCACCAGGACCACGUGGGUUGG